This 252-nucleotide ribosomal RNA is filed under the name uncultured bacterium. RNAcentral describes it as "partial 16S ribosomal RNA". It matches the Rfam family "Bacterial small subunit ribosomal RNA", at positions 524 to 776 of the family's 1533-position model. The record is from RNAcentral.
UACGGAGGAUGCGAGCGUUAUCCGGAUUUAUUGGGUUUAAAGGGUGCGCAGGCGGAUUUUUAAGUCAGCGGUCAAACCGUGGGGCUCAACCCCAUCCAGCCGUUGAAACUGGGGAUCUAGAGUGUGCGAGAGGUAUGCGGAAUGCGUGGUGUAGCGGUGAAAUGCAUAGAUAUCACGCAGAACCCCGAUUGCGAAGGCAGCAUACCGGUGCACAACUGACGCUCAGGCACGAAAGCGUGGGUAUCGAACAGG